GAUGAACGCUGGCGGCGUGCCUAAUACAUGCAAGUCGAGCGAACAGAUAAGGAGCUUGCUCCUUUGACGUUAGCGGCGGACGGGUGAGUAACACGUGGGUAACCUACCUAUAAGACUGGAAUAACUCCGGGAAACCGGGGCUAAUGCCGGAUAGCAUUUAGAACCGCAUGGUUCUAAAGUGAAAGAUGGUUUUGCUAUCACUUAUAGAUGGACCCGCGCCGUAUUAGCUAGUUGGUAAGGUAACGGCUUACCAAGGCAACGAUACGUAGCCGACCUGAGAGGGUGAUCGGCCACACUGGAACUGAGACACGGUCCAGACUCCUACGGGAGGCAGCAGUAGGGAAUCUUCCGCAAUGGGCGAAAGCCUGACGGAGCAACGCCGCGUGAGUGAUGAAGGUCUUCGGAUCGUAAAACUCUGUUAUUAGGGAAGAACAAAUGUGUAAGUAACUGUGCACGUCUUGACGGUACCUAAUCAGAAAGCCACGGCUAACUACGUG
Molecule: ribosomal RNA, 497 nt
Filed under: uncultured bacterium
Lineage: Bacteria
Description: partial 16S ribosomal RNA
Rfam family: Bacterial small subunit ribosomal RNA
Source: RNAcentral